CCUACGGGGGGCUGCAGUGGGGAAUAUUGGACAAUAGGGGGAACCCUGAUCCAGCCAUGCCGCGUGUGUGAAGAAGGCCCUCGGGUUGUAAAGCACUUUCAGUGAGGAAGAACGCCUGGUGGUUAAUACCCAUCAGGAAAGACAUCACUCACAGAAGAAGCACCGGCUAACUCCGUGCCAGCAGCCGCGGUAAUACGGAGGGUGCGAGCGUUAAUCGGAAUUACUGGGCGUAAAGCGCGCGUAGGUGGCUUGAUAAGCCGGUUGUGAAAGCCCCGGGCUCAACCUGGGAACGGCAUCCGGAACUGUCAAGCUAGAGUGCAGGAGAGGAAGGUAGAAUUCCCGGUGUAGCGGUGAAAUGCGUAGAGAUCGGGAGGAAUACCAGUGGCGAAGGCGGCCUUCUGGACUGACACUGACACUGAGGUGCGAAAGCGUGGGUAGCAAACAGGAUUAGAUACCCCGGUAGUC
This 465-nucleotide ribosomal RNA is filed under the name Vreelandella stevensii. RNAcentral's name for it is "partial 16S ribosomal RNA". It matches the Rfam family "Bacterial small subunit ribosomal RNA", at positions 338 to 795 of the family's 1533-position model. Lineage: Bacteria; Pseudomonadati; Pseudomonadota; Gammaproteobacteria; Oceanospirillales; Halomonadaceae. The record is from RNAcentral.